GGAGGAAAAGAAACCAACAGGGAUUGCCUUAGUAACGGCGAGUGAAGCGGCAACAGCUCAAAUUUGAAAUCUGGCCCUCGGGUCCGAAUUGUAAUUUGUAGAGGAUGAUUUUGGUGCGGUAUCUUCCGAGUUCCUUGGAACAGGACGCCUUAGAGGGUGAGAGCCCCGUACGGUUGAAUGCCUAGCCUCUGUAAAUCUCCUUCGACGAGUCGAGUAGUUUGGGAAUGCUGCUCUAAAUGGGAGGUAAAUUUCUUCUAAAGCUAAAUAUUGGCCAGAGACCGAUAGCGCACAAGUAGAGUGAUCGAAAGAUGAAAAGCACUUUGAAAAGAGGGUUAAAUAGCACGUGAAAUUGUUGAAAGGGAAGGAUUUGUGACCAGACUUUUUCUGGGCGGAUCAUCCGGGGUUCUCUCCGGUGCACUUUGCCCAGUAAAGGCCAGCAUCGAUUUUCGGCGGCGGAUAAAAGCAGUGGGAAUGUGGCUCCCUACGGGGAGUGUUAUAGCCCAUUGUAUAAUACGCUGCUGGGGAUCGAGGUACGCGCUUCUGCAAGGAUGCUGGCGUAAUGGUUAUCAAUCACCCGUCUUGAAACACGGACCAAGGAGUCGAACAUUUAUGCGAGUGUUUGGGUGUUAAACCCUCACGCGUAAUGAAAGUGAACGGAGGUGAGAGCCCGUACGGGUGCAUCAUCGACCGAUCCUGAAGUUUUCGGAUGGAUUUGAGUAAGAGCAUAACUGUUCGGACCCGAAAGAUGGUGAACUAUGCGUGGAUAGGGUGAAGCCAGAGGAAACUCUGGUGGAGGCUCGCAGCGGUUCUGACGUGCAAAUCGAUCGUCAAAUCUGCGCAUGGGGGCGAAAGACUAAUCGAACCAUCUAGUAGCUGGU
This 878-nucleotide ribosomal RNA is filed under the name Pestalotiopsis diploclisiae. RNAcentral describes it as "partial large subunit ribosomal RNA". It matches the Rfam family "Eukaryotic large subunit ribosomal RNA", at positions 52 to 955 of the family's 3401-position model. The record is from RNAcentral. Lineage: Eukaryota; Fungi; Ascomycota; Sordariomycetes; Amphisphaeriales; Sporocadaceae.